RNAcentral lists this transfer RNA (60 nucleotides) under Platevindex mortoni. RNAcentral describes it as "tRNA-Tyr". The record is from RNAcentral. Lineage: Eukaryota; Metazoa; Mollusca; Gastropoda; Systellommatophora; Onchidiidae.
AAUUAUUUUGGUGGCCGAGAUAGGCGAUAGAUUGUAAAUCUUUUCACGGGGACUACCCCC